GAGAAACUUCUUAGAGAAGAAACUUUAUCCCCUGAACCGAAGGCUGAGUUCUACAAACAGCGCAAGAUAGCCCGGCCACCGCCCAACAGAAGGGAUGGACUGGUUUCCUUCUUGUUCUUCUAUGAAACUAAACGGUUUGGGAUAUCAGAACAGUGUUCAUUACUGUGAAAUCACAAAACAGAAAACAAGUCUUCCCCUUCUCUCCUGUUGACAAAAAAAUUGUGUGGGGCUUCCCUGGAGGCUCAGUGGUAAAGAAGCUGCCUGCCAAUGCAUA
This 274-nucleotide long non-coding RNA is filed under the name Bos mutus (wild yak). Its description in RNAcentral is "lncRNA (ENSBMUG00000023041.1)". Lineage: Eukaryota; Metazoa; Chordata; Mammalia; Artiodactyla; Bovidae. The record is from RNAcentral.